Non-coding RNA from Electrophorus electricus (electric eel), 1851 nucleotides. The record is from RefSeq and is a predicted model, not a curated record. Lineage: Eukaryota; Metazoa; Chordata; Actinopteri; Gymnotiformes; Gymnotidae.
GUUGGAUCACUCGCGUUAGGGAGGAGGCACUGGGGGAACUGCCACGUAUGAAAAUGUUGCCUGCAAAGAGGUUGUUGAGCACCGUGGUCCCAGCAUAUCCACUGCUUUCGAUUAAGCCGACGCGGGGACUUGUAGACGAGAAGCUUCAGAUCGUCGUGAGGAAUUUAAGACCAAAACAAGACGUGACACUUCACUCUGUACAUCAGUCAGAAGAUAAGGAUUUUUGGGAAGCCUUCGGACACUAUGUCAGCGACGGCAACGGCACCGUGACCGUGGCAAAGGACGCCAGUCUGAGCGGCACCUAUGUAGGUGUGGAGGCCAUGGGCCUGAUGUGGAGUCUUCGGCCAGUGCCAGGGAGUCGAGCAGGACUGAGAUUCCGAAAGAAAGAUGUCCUGUCACCACUGGUAUUCCACAUUUCUGUGCAUGAUGGACAUGUUUCUCAGGGUUUUACUCAGCUCACGCCAUUAGAGAGCCUUGUUAUAGAGCGAUGGUACAUGGCUCCAGGUGUACGAAGAUUCGAUAUCAGAGAGAGAGGUGUUCGAGGAACUUUGUUCAUACCUCCAGGUCCUGGACCAUUCCCUGGUCUGCUGGAUAUGUGGGGAGGGGAUGGUGGGCUGGUGGAGUAUCCAGCCGCCCUCCUGGUUUCACACGGCUUUGUUUCAAUGGCACUGGAGUAUCUGACUCCUGGUGAAUUAAAAAAACUAAAGGCUGAUGUCAAUUACUUUGAGACAGUGUGUGUAGCUGUGUGAACCUCUCUAUGGCUGUCUACUCCAAAAUCAUUCAGCCCCAGUGUUGUGUGUGCAUCAGUGGCAGUCAUAUUCCAGUCAUCAAAAAGUCUUUGAAUGAAACCUUUGAGGACCUAAAGAAGUAAAAAAAGGUGUCAUGGAACGCUCGCUCCCCCGAGUCAAGUGGUUGGGCCAGCCACGUGUAGUGGGAGGAUCUGUUUGUGGCCACACCUGCACACACCUGCACCUUAUUUGUUUGUAUGUACUUAAACCCCGUGUUGAAGUGUGCAGAGUGUUGGUCAUUGUUGAUGUAACGUGUUAAUAUUCUUUUCGUCAAUUGUUAAUCGGAUUUGUGUUUAUCGUGUGUAAUACGUGUGAGUGCCGAAGUCGUUAUAUGUAAAUAAAUGUUCGUCCACGUCAUGGGAGUCUGUGCAUCCUGCCCCUCGCCCUGCGACACUCGGUGGCCCUUAGUGGUUGGUGGUGAUGAUCAGAACUGGUCCACUCUGGAUAUUACUGAAGAUGUACCUGUGAUCACACCUGUGUACAUCAUUUACAAUUCUAUAACACACAUACAUAACCCAUAGGACAACACAAUAUAUUACUUUACUUGUUAUAACAAGAUUCAGAUUUAAGUUACAUAGCAUCCAUUGCCACAUGUCUGUUAUAAUACACAUUCACACCAUUUUGAACCCAAAAAACUCUGGGUCCUCUUUUCAAUAAGGAAUGCCAUUUGUCCAGUAUUUCCAUAGAAGGCCAUAACCAAGAUUAAAAAAUAUUAUGUAACCUAGAGUAAUUUUCAUACCAGUUAUAUGAUAGGUUUAAUGUUAGCCCAUUUACUAAUACAUACACAUUGAAUCAACAAAGUGAUAAACCUGGAUUUUCUCAAUUUCAUGUAAAUUAGUUGUGAAGCCAGGUUGUCUUUGGUUAACCUGCCUAGCUAGCUGUCUUCCACACAGAUACACUGAGACCCCUCGCCAAGACACAUUAUGGGAAUCAAUCCUUAUGUCAGUCAUUGGGUCAAAAUGCUUCUUCUAAGUCACAAGUACUCAUGCUCUGGGGUGGAUAGGCCAAGCCACAUGCAGAUGCCCAAGAGGACUCAUGGGAAAAACCUCUGGCCUUUCUACAG